RNA transcript from Cavia porcellus (domestic guinea pig), 17118 nucleotides. RefSeq lists it as uncharacterized. The transcript is spliced from 10 exons. NCBI's taxonomy places the organism in Eukaryota, Metazoa, Chordata, Mammalia, Rodentia, Caviidae. The record is from RefSeq and is a predicted model, not a curated record.
UGCACGUGUGUGUGAGUGUGUGGGGGAUGCCUUGCCCCAGCAGGGCCCUCCUACAUGUUCGGGCCAAGGGGUCAGGAGAUUCGUAAGGAAGGCUAUGACCAAGGAAGGAGGCCAUCGGGGAGCACCAGGGGGCACCCGCACAGCUGACACACAAAUGGACGUGAGGGUCACAUGGACUGGUUCACCUGUCUGUGGCAAGUGAAGACAGAAGAACUGUACCGACACACAGAUGGGCACAUUUUCCUGGGGCCCAUGUCUUCGAGGAACCUGCAGCCUUGUCACCCUCUGUCUAUCUGUCUGAUCAGAAGGGAGUUACCUUGUUACCUGCCACCAAGGGUGCCAUAGCAAGCGGUGGCUGUGUCUGAUGACAGACAGGAGAGAGGUGGUGCCACGUGUUGUUGGCUGUCUCUGUCUUUGGGCUGCAUGUAGGGGAACUCAGGGUUGUGUGUGUAUAGGGCUGGGUCAGCAUCCAGUGUGUGCCAGGACUGGCCUGGGUCCUUCUGAGAGCAGGCACAGCCCCUGGAAUGAAUUCCUGCUGUUGGUCUUGCCUGCCUCCAUGGGGCCUCCAAUGUUGGGGUCUUUUCCCCCUACCCUUACCUUCAUCCUGGGCUCUGCAUAGAUCCUUCAGGCUCAUACGAUGGUCUGCAUCAUGCCCACUAGCUACCCUCCAGGGCUAACAAUGGAAGGUUGUUGGGGUCACAGAGCAGCCUGAUAUUGGCUCCUCCUCUGAGGUUGAGGAAAGAGCAGUGCCAGUACCCUCUAAAGGGACUGAAUCUCUCUGUAGAGCACAGCCUAGUGUGACCCAUAUAGUUCCACCCUCCAACUGGGAGGGGGACUGAAGACCUCUAGUUCUGAUGAGCCCACCCAUCACUGAUGAAUGUCAGAUUCUAAUUAAGUCACUUCCAGCAGGACUUCUAGAGCCAGGAGGUGGUUGUUGAGGAUUUGGGGAGCAGUGUAUUAAGUUGCGGGAGUGGCCCUGGGGGGUUCAUGUUAGGUCUACCAGAGGGGUGAGGGUUAGAGAUCUGCUGGGAUUAGGGAGCCAGUGGCUUAGAGAAGCCCCUAUUCACAUGAACCCCCACCUCCUACUCCAUCCCCCACCCACCACAAAGGAAUGCCAGCUUAGGGGCUGGAUUAGAAACACCCCCACCUAGAGAGGAAGUUGCUGUGUUGUACCAAAAAGCAACUUGACAGUCUAGUUGAAUUGUUCCCCAUGGAAAAAUUUAUUGCAUUUCUCUUUUCCUAACGUAGCAUCCUGAAACAUGGAGAAAUCACUGGCUCACCUUAAAAGUCCCAUCAGAGCAGCAAAAGGAGCCAGCCAGCAGGGUGAACCACGCCCCUUCCCCAGGCCUGCCUCACACAGGAGACAAAAAUCAGCCCUCUUACUUCACCAAAGGAGGCGGGAGGAGAAAGGUGUCUGUCUGUCUGUCUGAUGCUGAGUGAAAAUCCAUGUCAAACUCUAGCUGAAUGUCAUUUCCAGUGGGAUACCUGUCUGCCUGUUUGGUUUGGUGGUUCUCAGAUCCAGAGAUCCGUGAAAAAACACAGAAAGAGUGUUCAGGCUUGGCUCCCUGGCUCCCAGCCUCCUGCGCUCACACUGGGCACUGAUGAGUGCAGGUUCACAACACAAACAUGCUCCCCCCGCAUCCACCCACACCCCAACUCUAACAACCCACACAGAUGUCCUGAUCAUCACCUAUAAAACUGGCAUAUGAAGCUCAGCUCGGCUCAGCACUGCACUGCUCUGCUUCACUUGGCUCUGCUCAGCUGGGCUCCAUAAACCCCACAUGUGUCUGUCUAUCCAUUUGCCCCCUGAUUGGACUGACUCCUAGAUCAUCAUCCAUGAACCCACUUGGGACCCGUUUCUCUCUGUUUGCUCUCUCUCUCUCUCUCUCUGUCUCUCUCUCUCUCUCUCUGCUUUUUGUCGUGCAAGGGGCCUUGCUUUUAGCUGUCUCUCAGCUGUCCUUGUGGCCCUAUGCCUUUUUUCACUCUCUCCUCCCUGCUUUUUCUCAGACCCUAACACCACACACACCCUUAUGCCUUGAUCUUCACCCGAGAGCCUAACACUCAGGGCUCAGCUGAGCUCUGCUGAUGGAUCCCAGAUCUACCUACUCCUCUUCCUGCCUGUCUGCUGGGAUUCCCACAUCUGUCCUACACAAACACCUUUGGAUCCUCUCUCCGAUCCCUCCCUGUUUUCAUCCCCAGUCCUGUCCCUUUUACCACCCAUCUGCACACUCUCUGUACCUUUCUCUGAGCCCUUAGACUCUUUCUGCCUCACUCUCUCUGUCUGUCUCUCUGUCUCUGUCACUGUCUCUGUCUCUGUCUGUUUCUCUGUCUUUCUCUGUCUCUGCUUUCCUCUGGCCUUUGCCUAGUUUGGGUUCUCUCUGGUUUUGUUUGCAGGGGGAGGAGCUGCAGUCUUUUUUCACUCUCUCGGGUUUUCUCCCUCCCUGGGCUGCUUUCAGUCUCUCUCUGCUUUCUUACCUUCCCCUGGGCUUUUUGGGGCUGGGUCUCAGUUGUUUGUGCAGCCUCACCCAUGUCUCUGUUAACUGGGGCCUUCCCCACUCUUUUACAGACCGUAACAUCACACAGACACACACACACACACACACACACACACACACACACACACACACACACACACACACAUACACACACACACACCUAUGCCCUGAUCAUCAACCAUGAGCCUAACACACACAGCAGCUCAGCUCAGCUCAGCUCAGUGGAUUCUAAUCUAAGCCUCUGCCUGGGUCUUGCUGCUGGGAUUGCCCUGUCUGUCUUCAGUCCCUUUGCCUCUUUUGGAUCCCUCCCUCCAUCCCUCAUUCCCCAGUUUAUCCCCCCCCCCUCCUUUCCCAUUUACCACUGGCUGGGCUGUCCCCUCUGUGCUAUUCUCCGGGGGGCCCUUUAACUCUUUGGACAUCUCUGUCUCUGGCUGUUUCUCCAUCUCUGUCUCUGUCUCUUUCUUUGCUUUUCUCAGGACCUCUGCUCUUUGAAGUUUUACAUUCUUGCCUUUUGGCUCUGGGCUCUGUGCUCUGGUUUCUGUGCUGUGGUCUCUGGGCUCUUGGAGGCUGGGCACAGAGUGGAGGGGACUGAGUGAGUGAGUGGGCUGCCUGGGAGUGGCAGACAGGAUGCAGGGAGUGGAGUAGGGUGGCAACAGGGUGUUGGUUCCGGAGGCUUAGCUAGAGGAGUGCUGGAUUAGGGCAGGCCAGUGGACCCCAGGCAGCUAGGGUUAGGAUGGCCUGGGUUAGAAUUAGCGCAGGGUUGCAGUUUAGCCAGCCUCUGGGCUUAACAGGCAGGGAUUUAGGGAGGCAAUGGGCUGCCACGCCCCAGCAGCCAUGCCACACCCCAGGCUGGAUUGGAUCUGCUGUGGGUUCAUGCACCAUGAAUUCCACAGCCUAGGUGAAAUUUUCCAAGUGGGAAAAGUCUGUCUGCUGACUGAACAUCGAAUUCUCCGAGGCUUUCCUGCUUCCUCUCAGCAUCCAAGGCCUCCGAGGUUCUCCUGUGUCCCUGAGUCCCUGGCUUUCUGAUUUCCAAGAUUGGGCAGAGUUCAGUCAAGGUUCCCUGCCUGGCUUUAAACCCUGCUUUGUCUGGGAUUUCUGGGUUCCCUGAGCUCCCUGGGUGCCCUGCCUCCUCUAUCCUCUCUGCCUCUUCUGGCUGCCCUGGCUGGCUUCCCCAGUCUCCCUCCUGGCUUCCCUGGCACCCCUUCUUCCCAGGCUCCCUGGGCUCCCUGGCUCCUCCUUGCCUUCCUUCCUGGUCCCUGGGUGCUGCUCUGCCUCCCCAGGCUUCUCCGCCUCCUCUGUCUGCCCUGGAUUGCCUCCCUGAUGUCCUUGCUUCCCGGGCCCCCUUCCUUCCCUGGCUGCUUGCCUUCCUCUGUGCUCCUGGCCUGGCUGCCAGCCUCCUUGCCUUCACCCAGGGGCAUCAGCACAGGCCACCCUCCCUCCUAGUCCUCACUGUCCACGUGGCCAUCCCAUUUUGGUGAUUCUCCCAUCCAGAGUUCUUUGGAGUACACCCUGCUGAUCCCCACUCGCUGAUGGCUCUCUGCCCUCUCAGCCCUAAUCCUUAAUCAGCCCCAUAUUCUUUUCCACUUUUUUAAAAUGAAAAUCCUGGGGGCUGGGUGUUUAACUCAGCGGCAUAAACACCUGCCUUGCAAGCAGGGGGUCCUGAAUUCGAUCCCCGGUACAGAUAAAAAUGAAAAAGACCAAGAAAAAAAAAUGAAAUGAAAACCCUGCCUCUGAAAUCCUGAGUCCACCCCAUAAUGCCAUCCUCCUCCUCAGCCAAUGAGCGAGCCAGGAAGUGAGUGAAGGGAAAGGGGACUUCCGGGACACCAGGGUGGUGCCACAGGAGGAGAUGAAAGGAUUAGGGGCCAGGUUGAUGGGAUCUGCAGCCAGCAUGGAGGGAUUAGCUGGGCUGCACGGGCGUGGCCAGAUCUUGGGCUCCUGGGCUCCAGGGUUUCCCAUGCAUUCUCCCUGACUGACCUCAAGCCUUAACAAGCUCAGGCACCAGACACCAUGCAGCAGGAGUUAACCAGCCCACACAGCCAGACCUCUGGCUGGCCCUCCAGAGCUCCCCUUCCCUGCUUUCUCUCUCCAUUCCCCUCCAGGUUCCCAGGACCCCUCUUGCUGGCCCAGCUCCUGGCUCCCAGCUCUCCCAGGAGCUCUGCCUGCUUGCCUGGCUACCUGCCUGACUUCAGGGACCCCAUGACAAUGCGGACCAAGAAGAGAUGGGGACAACAGCCAUCUGCCAUGCAUCGAGUGAGGUUCCUGGGACUUGGCACUCCCAGCUCCUGGAUCCUGGCUCACCAUGCAUCUCCUCCCUCCUGCCAGCCUGCCUGCCCUCCAGGACCCCGUGAUGAUGCGGGCCACGAUGAGUUGAGGCGGACAACAGCUGUCCACCAGACAGCCAGCAAGGUUCCUGGAACCCAGCUCUCUGGGCUCAGGGCUCUGGCCCCCCCAGCUGCAGCCUCCCAGCUCCAAGCUGCCGGCUCUGCUGGAAGCUCCUACCUGCCUGCCUGCCUGACUGCCUGCUGGCCUUCCUGCCUUCCAGGACCCCACGACGAUGAGCAAGAGGAGAUGAGGGGGACCACAGCCAUCCAGCACACACCACAGCACAGCCAGAUGACCACCUGGGCUGGCUGUUGGUGUAGACCAUGAGCAUCUAUAGGCUCAGAUCCCAGAGCAUAUACUUUGUGCAGGGAAGGUUUCCCACGUGGCACUGCGGCUUAGGUCGGAGACUGGAGGCCACUGGGUUCCAUACCAAUCUCUGAUGGCUGCUGCUGGACACCAGUACCCUCUGAGGUGGUGCCAGGACCCUCGGAUGGCUAUAGAUAUGUAUCCUGCCCGUUUCUACUGUGCACGUGUGUGUGAGUGUGUGGGGGAUGCCUUGCCCCAGCAGGGCCCUCCUACAUGUUCGGGCCAAGGGGUCAGGAGAUUCGUAAGGAAGGCUAUGACCAAGGAAGGAGGCCAUCGGGGAGCACCAGGGGGCACCCGCACAGCUGACACACAAAUGGACGUGAGGGUCACAUGGACUGGUUCACCUGUCUGUGGCAAGUGAAGACAGAAGAACUGUACCGACACACAGAUGGGCACAUUUUCCUGGGGCCCAUGUCUUCGAGGAACCUGCAGCCUUGUCACCCUCUGUCUAUCUGUCUGAUCAGAAGGGAGUUACCUUGUUACCUGCCACCAAGGGUGCCAUAGCAAGCGGUGGCUGUGUCUGAUGACAGACAGGAGAGAGGUGGUGCCACGUGUUGUUGGCUGUCUCUGUCUUUGGGCUGCAUGUAGGGGAACUCAGGGUUGUGUGUGUAUAGGGCUGGGUCAGCAUCCAGUGUGUGCCAGGACUGGCCUGGGUCCUUCUGAGAGCAGGCACAGCCCCUGGAAUGAAUUCCUGCUGUUGGUCUUGCCUGCCUCCAUGGGGCCUCCAAUGUUGGGGUCUUUUCCCCCUACCCUUACCUUCAUCCUGGGCUCUGCAUAGAUCCUUCAGGCUCAUACGAUGGUCUGCAUCAUGCCCACUAGCUACCCUCCAGGGCUAACAAUGGAAGGUUGUUGGGGUCACAGAGCAGCCUGAUAUUGGCUCCUCCUCUGAGGUUGAGGAAAGAGCAGUGCCAGUACCCUCUAAAGGGACUGAAUCUCUCUGUAGAGCACAGCCUAGUGUGACCCAUAUAGUUCCACCCUCCAACUGGGAGGGGGACUGAAGACCUCUAGUUCUGAUGAGCCCACCCAUCACUGAUGAAUGUCAGAUUCUAAUUAAGUCACUUCCAGCAGGACUUCUAGAGCCAGGAGGUGGUUGUUGAGGAUUUGGGGAGCAGUGUAUUAAGUUGCGGGAGUGGCCCUGGGGGGUUCAUGUUAGGUCUACCAGAGGGGUGAGGGUUAGAGAUCUGCUGGGAUUAGGGAGCCAGUGGCUUAGAGAAGCCCCUAUUCACAUGAACCCCCACCUCCUACUCCAUCCCCCACCCACCACAAAGGAAUGCCAGCUUAGGGGCUGGAUUAGAAACACCCCCACCUAGAGAGGAAGUUGCUGUGUUGUACCAAAAAGCAACUUGACAGUCUAGUUGAAUUGUUCCCCAUGGAAAAAUUUAUUGCAUUUCUCUUUUCCUAACGUAGCAUCCUGAAACAUGGAGAAAUCACUGGCUCACCUUAAAAGUCCCAUCAGAGCAGCAAAAGGAGCCAGCCAGCAGGGUGAACCACGCCCCUUCCCCAGGCCUGCCUCACACAGGAGACAAAAAUCAGCCCUCUUACUUCACCAAAGGAGGCGGGAGGAGAAAGGUGUCUGUCUGUCUGUCUGAUGCUGAGUGAAAAUCCAUGUCAAACUCUAGCUGAAUGUCAUUUCCAGUGGGAUACCUGUCUGCCUGUUUGGUUUGGUGGUUCUCAGAUCCAGAGAUCCGUGAAAAAACACAGAAAGAGUGUUCAGGCUUGGCUCCCUGGCUCCCAGCCUCCUGCGCUCACACUGGGCACUGAUGAGUGCAGGUUCACAACACAAACAUGCUCCCCCCGCAUCCACCCACACCCCAACUCUAACAACCCACACAGAUGUCCUGAUCAUCACCUAUAAAACUGGCAUAUGAAGCUCAGCUCGGCUCAGCACUGCACUGCUCUGCUUCACUUGGCUCUGCUCAGCUGGGCUCCAUAAACCCCACAUGUGUCUGUCUAUCCAUUUGCCCCCUGAUUGGACUGACUCCUAGAUCAUCAUCCAUGAACCCACUUGGGACCCGUUUCUCUCUGUUUGCUCUCUCUCUCUCUCUCUCUGUCUCUCUCUCUCUCUCUCUGCUUUUUGUCGUGCAAGGGGCCUUGCUUUUAGCUGUCUCUCAGCUGUCCUUGUGGCCCUAUGCCUUUUUUCACUCUCUCCUCCCUGCUUUUUCUCAGACCCUAACACCACACACACCCUUAUGCCUUGAUCUUCACCCGAGAGCCUAACACUCAGGGCUCAGCUGAGCUCUGCUGAUGGAUCCCAGAUCUACCUACUCCUCUUCCUGCCUGUCUGCUGGGAUUCCCACAUCUGUCCUACACAAACACCUUUGGAUCCUCUCUCCGAUCCCUCCCUGUUUUCAUCCCCAGUCCUGUCCCUUUUACCACCCAUCUGCACACUCUCUGUACCUUUCUCUGAGCCCUUAGACUCUUUCUGCCUCACUCUCUCUGUCUGUCUCUCUGUCUCUGUCACUGUCUCUGUCUCUGUCUGUUUCUCUGUCUUUCUCUGUCUCUGCUUUCCUCUGGCCUUUGCCUAGUUUGGGUUCUCUCUGGUUUUGUUUGCAGGGGGAGGAGCUGCAGUCUUUUUUCACUCUCUCGGGUUUUCUCCCUCCCUGGGCUGCUUUCAGUCUCUCUCUGCUUUCUUACCUUCCCCUGGGCUUUUUGGGGCUGGGUCUCAGUUGUUUGUGCAGCCUCACCCAUGUCUCUGUUAACUGGGGCCUUCCCCACUCUUUUACAGACCGUAACAUCACACAGACACACACACACACACACACACACACACACACACACACACACACACACACAUACACACACACACACCUAUGCCCUGAUCAUCAACCAUGAGCCUAACACACACAGCAGCUCAGCUCAGCUCAGCUCAGUGGAUUCUAAUCUAAGCCUCUGCCUGGGUCUUGCUGCUGGGAUUGCCCUGUCUGUCUUCAGUCCCUUUGCCUCUUUUGGAUCCCUCCCUCCAUCCCUCAUUCCCCAGUUUAUCCCCCCCCCCUCCUUUCCCAUUUACCACUGGCUGGGCUGUCCCCUCUGUGCUAUUCUCCGGGGGGCCCUUUAACUCUUUGGACAUCUCUGUCUCUGGCUGUUUCUCCAUCUCUGUCUCUGUCUCUUUCUUUGCUUUUCUCAGGACCUCUGCUCUUUGAAGUUUUACAUUCUUGCCUUUUGGCUCUGGGCUCUGUGCUCUGGUUUCUGUGCUGUGGUCUCUGGGCUCUUGGAGGCUGGGCACAGAGUGGAGGGGACUGAGUGAGUGAGUGGGCUGCCUGGGAGUGGCAGACAGGAUGCAGGGAGUGGAGUAGGGUGGCAACAGGGUGUUGGUUCCGGAGGCUUAGCUAGAGGAGUGCUGGAUUAGGGCAGGCCAGUGGACCCCAGGCAGCUAGGGUUAGGAUGGCCUGGGUUAGAAUUAGCGCAGGGUUGCAGUUUAGCCAGCCUCUGGGCUUAACAGGCAGGGAUUUAGGGAGGCAAUGGGCUGCCACGCCCCAGCAGCCAUGCCACACCCCAGGCUGGAUUGGAUCUGCUGUGGGUUCAUGCACCAUGAAUUCCACAGCCUAGGUGAAAUUUUCCAAGUGGGAAAAGUCUGUCUGCUGACUGAACAUCGAAUUCUCCGAGGCUUUCCUGCUUCCUCUCAGCAUCCAAGGCCUCCGAGGUUCUCCUGUGUCCCUGAGUCCCUGGCUUUCUGAUUUCCAAGAUUGGGCAGAGUUCAGUCAAGGUUCCCUGCCUGGCUUUAAACCCUGCUUUGUCUGGGAUUUCUGGGUUCCCUGAGCUCCCUGGGUGCCCUGCCUCCUCUAUCCUCUCUGCCUCUUCUGGCUGCCCUGGCUGGCUUCCCCAGUCUCCCUCCUGGCUUCCCUGGCACCCCUUCUUCCCAGGCUCCCUGGGCUCCCUGGCUCCUCCUUGCCUUCCUUCGUGGUCCCUGGGUGCUGCUCUGCCUCCCCAGGCUUCUCCGCCUCCUCUGUCUGCCCUGGAUUGCCUCCCUGAUGUCCUUGCUUCCCGGGCCCCCUUCCUUCCCUGGCUGCUUGCCUUCCUCUGUGCUCCUGGCCUGGCUGCCAGCCUCCUUGCCUUCACCCAGGGGCAUCAGCACAGGCCACCCUCCCUCCUAGUCCUCACUGUCCACGUGGCCAUCCCAUUUUGGUGAUUCUCCCAUCCAGAGUUCUUUGGAGUACACCCUGCUGAUCCCCACUCGCUGAUGGCUCUCUGCCCUCUCAGCCCUAAUCCUUAAUCAGCCCCAUAUUCUUUUCCACUUUUUUAAAAUGAAAAUCCUGGGGGCUGGGUGUUUAACUCAGCGGCAUAAACACCUGCCUUGCAAGCAGGGGGUCCUGAAUUCGAUCCCCGGUACAGAUAAAAAUGAAAAAGACCAAGAAAAAAAAAUGAAAUGAAAACCCUGCCUCUGAAAUCCUGAGUCCACCCCAUAAUGCCAUCCUCCUCCUCAGCCAAUGAGCGAGCCAGGAAGUGAGUGAAGGGAAAGGGGACUUCCGGGACACCAGGGUGGUGCCACAGGAGGAGAUGAAAGGAUUAGGGGCCAGGUUGAUGGGAUCUGCAGCCAGCAUGGAGGGAUUAGCUGGGCUGCACGGGCGUGGCCAGAUCUUGGGCUCCUGGGCUCCAGGGUUUCCCAUGCAUUCUCCCUGACUGACCUCAAGCCUUAACAAGCUCAGGCACCAGACACCAUGCAGCAGGAGUUAACCAGCCCACACAGCCAGACCUCUGGCUGGCCCUCCAGAGCUCCCCUUCCCUGCUUUCUCUCUCCAUUCCCCUCCAGGUUCCCAGGACCCCUCUUGCUGGCCCAGCUCCUGGCUCCCAGCUCUCCCAGGAGCUCUGCCUGCUUGCCUGGCUACCUGCCUGACUUCAGGGACCCCAUGACAAUGCGGACCAAGAAGAGAUGGGGACAACAGCCAUCUGCCAUGCAUCGAGUGAGGUUCCUGGGACUUGGCACUCCCAGCUCCUGGAUCCUGGCUCACCAUGCAUCUCCUCCCUCCUGCCAGCCUGCCUGCCCUCCAGGACCCCGUGAUGAUGCGGGCCACGAUGAGUUGAGGCGGACAACAGCUGUCCACCAGACAGCCAGCAAGGUUCCUGGAACCCAGCUCUCUGGGCUCAGGGCUCUGGCCCCCCCAGCUGCAGCCUCCCAGCUCCAAGCUGCCGGCUCUGCUGGAAGCUCCUACCUGCCUGCCUGCCUGACUGCCUGCUGGCCUUCCUGCCUUCCAGGACCCCACGACGAUGAGCAAGAGGAGAUGAGGGGGACCACAGCCAUCCAGCACACACCACAGCACAGCCAGAUGACCACCUGGGCUGGCUGUUGGUGUAGACCAUGAGCAUCUAUAGGCUCAGAUCCCAGAGCAUAUACUUUGUGCAGGGAAGGUUUCCCACGUGGCACUGCGGCUUAGGUCGGAGACUGGAGGCCACUGGGUUCCAUACCAAUCUCUGAUGGCUGCUGCUGGACACCAGUACCCUCUGAGGUGGUGCCAGGACCCUCGGAUGGCUAUAGAUAUGUAUCCUGCCCGUUUCUACUGUGCACGUGUGUGUGAGUGUGUGGGGGAUGCCUUGCCCCAGCAGGGCCCUCCUACAUGUUCGGGCCAAGGGGUCAGGAGAUUCGUAAGGAAGGCUAUGACCAAGGAAGGAGGCCAUCGGGGAGCACCAGGGGGCACCCGCACAGCUGACACACAAAUGGACGUGAGGGUCACAUGGACUGGUUCACCUGUCUGUGGCAAGUGAAGACAGAAGAACUGUACCGACACACAGAUGGGCACAUUUUCCUGGGGCCCAUGUCUUCGAGGAACCUGCAGCCUUGUCACCCUCUGUCUAUCUGUCUGAUCAGAAGGGAGUUACCUUGUUACCUGCCACCAAGGGUGCCAUAGCAAGCGGUGGCUGUGUCUGAUGACAGACAGGAGAGAGGUGGUGCCACGUGUUGUUGGCUGUCUCUGUCUUUGGGCUGCAUGUAGGGGAACUCAGGGUUGUGUGUGUAUAGGGCUGGGUCAGCAUCCAGUGUGUGCCAGGACUGGCCUGGGUCCUUCUGAGAGCAGGCACAGCCCCUGGAAUGAAUUCCUGCUGUUGGUCUUGCCUGCCUCCAUGGGGCCUCCAAUGUUGGGGUCUUUUCCCCCUACCCUUACCUUCAUCCUGGGCUCUGCAUAGAUCCUUCAGGCUCAUACGAUGGUCUGCAUCAUGCCCACUAGCUACCCUCCAGGGCUAACAAUGGAAGGUUGUUGGGGUCACAGAGCAGCCUGAUAUUGGCUCCUCCUCUGAGGUUGAGGAAAGAGCAGUGCCAGUACCCUCUAAAGGGACUGAAUCUCUCUGUAGAGCACAGCCUAGUGUGACCCAUAUAGUUCCACCCUCCAACUGGGAGGGGGACUGAAGACCUCUAGUUCUGAUGAGCCCACCCAUCACUGAUGAAUGUCAGAUUCUAAUUAAGUCACUUCCAGCAGGACUUCUAGAGCCAGGAGGUGGUUGUUGAGGAUUUGGGGAGCAGUGUAUUAAGUUGCGGGAGUGGCCCUGGGGGGUUCAUGUUAGGUCUACCAGAGGGGUGAGGGUUAGAGAUCUGCUGGGAUUAGGGAGCCAGUGGCUUAGAGAAGCCCCUAUUCACAUGAACCCCCACCUCCUACUCCAUCCCCCACCCACCACAAAGGAAUGCCAGCUUAGAGGCUGGAUUAGAAACACCCCCACCUAGAGAGGAAGUUGCUGUGUUGUACCAAAAAGCAACUUGACAGUCUAGUUGAAUUGUUCCCCAUGGAAAAAUUUAUUGCAUUUCUCUUUUCCUAACGUAGCAUCCUGAAACAUGGAGAAAUCACUGGCUCACCUUAAAAGUCCCAUCAGAGCAGCAAAAGGAGCCAGCCAGCAGGGUGAACCACGCCCCUUCCCCAGGCCUGCCUCACACAGGAGACAAAAAUCAGCCCUCUUACUUCACCAAAGGAGGCGGGAGGAGAAAGGUGUCUGUCUGUCUGUCUGAUGCUGAGUGAAAAUCCAUGUCAAACUCUAGCUGAAUGUCAUUUCCAGUGGGAUACCUGUCUGCCUGUUUGGUUUGGUGGUUCUCAGAUCCAGAGAUCCGUGAAAAAACACAGAAAGAGUGUUCAGGCUUGGCUCCCUGGCUCCCAGCCUCCUGCGCUCACACUGGGCACUGAUGAGUGCAGGUUCACAACACAAACAUGCUCCCCCCGCAUCCACCCACACCCCAACUCUAACAACCCACACAGAUGUCCUGAUCAUCACCUAUAAAACUGGCAUAUGAAGCUCAGCUCGGCUCAGCACUGCACUGCUCUGCUUCACUUGGCUCUGCUCAGCUGGGCUCCAUAAACCCCACAUGUGUCUGUCUAUCCAUUUGCCCCCUGAUUGGACUGACUCCUAGAUCAUCAUCCAUGAACCCACUUGGGACCCGUUUCUCUCUGUUUGCUCUCUCUCUCUCUCUCUCUGUCUCUCUCUCUCUCUCUCUGCUUUUUGUCGUGCAAGGGGCCUUGCUUUUAGCUGUCUCUCAGCUGUCCUUGUGGCCCUAUGCCUUUUUUCACUCUCUCCUCCCUGCUUUUUCUCAGACCCUAACACCACACACACCCUUAUGCCUUGAUCUUCACCCGAGAGCCUAACACUCAGGGCUCAGCUGAGCUCUGCUGAUGGAUCCCAGAUCUACCUACUCCUCUUCCUGCCUGUCUGCUGGGAUUCCCACAUCUGUCCUACACAAACACCUUUGGAUCCUCUCUCCGAUCCCUCCCUGUUUUCAUCCCCAGUCCUGUCCCUUUUACCACCCAUCUGCACACUCUCUGUACCUUUCUCUGAGCCCUUAGACUCUUUCUGCCUCACUCUCUCUGUCUGUCUCUCUGUCUCUGUCACUGUCUCUGUCUCUGUCUGUUUCUCUGUCUUUCUCUGUCUCUGCUUUCCUCUGGCCUUUGCCUAGUUUGGGUUCUCUCUGGUUUUGUUUGCAGGGGGAGGAGCUGCAGUCUUUUUUCACUCUCUCGGGUUUUCUCCCUCCCUGGGCUGCUUUCAGUCUCUCUCUGCUUUCUUACCUUCCCCUGGGCUUUUUGGGGCUGGGUCUCAGUUGUUUGUGCAGCCUCACCCAUGUCUCUGUUAACUGGGGCCUUCCCCACUCUUUUACAGACCGUAACAUCACACAGACACACACACACACACACACACACACACACACACACACACACACACACAUACACACACACACACCUAUGCCCUGAUCAUCAACCAUGAGCCUAACACACACAGCAGCUCAGCUCAGCUCAGCUCAGUGGAUUCUAAUCUAAGCCUCUGCCUGGGUCUUGCUGCUGGGAUUGCCCUGUCUGUCUUCAGUCCCUUUGCCUCUUUUGGAUCCCUCCCUCCAUCCCUCAUUCCCCAGUUUAUCCCCCCCCCCUCCUUUCCCAUUUACCACUGGCUGGGCUGUCCCCUCUGUGCUAUUCUCCGGGGGGCCCUUUAACUCUUUGGACAUCUCUGUCUCUGGCUGUUUCUCCAUCUCUGUCUCUGUCUCUUUCUUUGCUUUUCUCAGGACCUCUGCUCUUUGAAGUUUUACAUUCUUGCCUUUUGGCUCUGGGCUCUGUGCUCUGGUUUCUGUGCUGUGGUCUCUGGGCUCUUGGAGGCUGGGCACAGAGUGGAGGGGACUGAGUGAGUGAGUGGGCUGCCUGGGAGUGGCAGACAGGAUGCAGGGAGUGGAGUAGGGUGGCAACAGGGUGUUGGUUCCGGAGGCUUAGCUAGAGGAGUGCUGGAUUAGGGCAGGCCAGUGGACCCCAGGCAGCUAGGGUUAGGAUGGCCUGGGUUAGAAUUAGCGCAGGGUUGCAGUUUAGCCAGCCUCUGGGCUUAACAGGCAGGGAUUUAGGGAGGCAAUGGGCUGCCACGCCCCAGCAGCCAUGCCACACCCCAGGCUGGAUUGGAUCUGCUGUGGGUUCAUGCACCAUGAAUUCCACAGCCUAGGUGAAAUUUUCCAAGUGGGAAAAGUCUGUCUGCUGACUGAACAUCGAAUUCUCCGAGGCUUUCCUGCUUCCUCUCAGCAUCCAAGGCCUCCGAGGUUCUCCUGUGUCCCUGAGUCCCUGGCUUUCUGAUUUCCAAGAUUGGGCAGAGUUCAGUCAAGGUUCCCUGCCUGGCUUUAAACCCUGCUUUGUCUGGGAUUUCUGGGUUCCCUGAGCUCCCUGGGUGCCCUGCCUCCUCUAUCCUCUCUGCCUCUUCUGGCUGCCCUGGCUGGCUUCCCCAGUCUCCCUCCUGGCUUCCCUGGCACCCCUUCUUCCCAGGCUCCCUGGGCUCCCUGGCUCCUCCUUGCCUUCCUUCGUGGUCCCUGGGUGCUGCUCUGCCUCCCCAGGCUUCUCCGCCUCCUCUGUCUGCCCUGGAUUGCCUCCCUGAUGUCCUUGCUUCCCGGGCCCCCUUCCUUCCCUGGCUGCUUGCCUUCCUCUGUGCUCCUGGCCUGGCUGCCAGCCUCCUUGCCUUCACCCAGGGGCAUCAGCACAGGCCACCCUCCCUCCUAGUCCUCACUGUCCACGUGGCCAUCCCAUUUUGGUGAUUCUCCCAUCCAGAGUUCUUUGGAGUACACCCUGCUGAUCCCCACUCGCUGAUGGCUCUCUGCCCUCUCAGCCCUAAUCCUUAAUCAGCCCCAUAUUCUUUUCCACUUUUUUAAAAUGAAAAUCCUGGGGGCUGGGUGUUUAACUCAGCGGCAUAAACACCUGCCUUGCAAGCAGGGGGUCCUGAAUUCGAUCCCCGGUACAGAUAAAAAUGAAAAAGACCAAGAAAAAAAAAUGAAAUGAAAACCCUGCCUCUGAAAUCCUGAGUCCACCCCAUAAUGCCAUCCUCCUCCUCAGCCAAUGAGCGAGCCAGGAAGUGAGUGAAGGGAAAGGGGACUUCCGGGACACCAGGGUGGUGCCACAGGAGGAGAUGAAAGGAUUAGGGGCCAGGUUGAUGGGAUCUGCAGCCAGCAUGGAGGGAUUAGCUGGGCUGCACGGGCGUGGCCAGAUCUUGGGCUCCUGGGCUCCAGGGUUUCCCAUGCAUUCUCCCUGACUGACCUCAAGCCUUAACAAGCUCAGGCACCAGACACCAUGCAGCAGGAGUUAACCAGCCCACACAGCCAGACCUCUGGCUGGCCCUCCAGAGCUCCCCUUCCCUGCUUUCUCUCUCCAUUCCCCUCCAGGUUCCCAGGACCCCUCUUGCUGGCCCAGCUCCUGGCUCCCAGCUCUCCCAGGAGCUCUGCCUGCUUGCCUGGCUACCUGCCUGACUUCAGGGACCCCAUGACAAUGCGGACCAAGAAGAGAUGGGGACAACAGCCAUCUGCCAUGCAUCGAGUGAGGUUCCUGGGACUUGGCACUCCCAGCUCCUGGAUCCUGGCUCACCAUGCAUCUCCUCCCUCCUGCCAGCCUGCCUGCCCUCCAGGACCCCGUGAUGAUGCGGGCCACGAUGAGUUGAGGCGGACAACAGCUGUCCACCAGACAGCCAGCAAGGUUCCUGGAACCCAGCUCUCUGGGCUCAGGGCUCUGGCCCCCCCAGCUGCAGCCUCCCAGCUCCAAGCUGCCGGCUCUGCUGGAAGCUCCUACCUGCCUGCCUGCCUGACUGCCUGCUGGCCUUCCUGCCUUCCAGGACCCCACGACGAUGAGCAAGAGGAGAUGAGGGGGACCACAGCCAUCCAGCACACACCACAGCACAGCCAGAUGACCACCUGGGCUGGCUGUUGGUGUAGACCAUGAGCAUCUAUAGGCUCAGAUCCCAGAGCAUAUACUUUGUGCAGGGAAGGUUUCCCACGUGGCACUGCGGCUUAGGUCGGAGACUGGAGGCCACUGGGUUCCAUACCAAUCUCUGAUGGCUGCUGCUGGACACCAGUACCCUCUGAGGUGGUGCCAGGACCCUCGGAUGGCUAUAGAUAUGUAUCCUGCCCGUUUCUACUGUGCACGUGUGUGUGAGUGUGUGGGGGAUGCCUUGCCCCAGCAGGGCCCUCCUACAUGUUCGGGCCAAGGGGUCAGGAGAUUCGUAAGGAAGGCUAUGACCAAGGAAGGAGGCCAUCGGGGAGCACCAGGGGGCACCCGCACAGCUGACACACAAAUGGACGUGAGGGUCACAUGGACUGGUUCACCUGUCUGUGGCAAGUGAAGACAGAAGAACUGUACCGACACACAGAUGGGCACAUUUUCCUGGGGCCCAUGUCUUCGAGGAACCUGCAGCCUUGUCACCCUCUGUCUAUCUGUCUGAUCAGAAGGGAGUUACCUUGUUACCUGCCACCAAGGGUGCCAUAGCAAGCGGUGGCUGUGUCUGAUGACAGACAGGAGAGAGGUGGUGCCACGUGUUGUUGGCUGUCUCUGUCUUUGGGCUGCAUGUAGGGGAACUCAGGGUUGUGUGUGUAUAGGGCUGGGUCAGCAUCCAGUGUGUGCCAGGACUGGCCUGGGUCCUUCUGAGAGCAGGCACAGCCCCUGGAAUGAAUUCCUGCUGUUGGUCUUGCCUGCCUCCAUGGGGCCUCCAAUGUUGGGGUCUUUUCCCCCUACCCUUACCUUCAUCCUGGGCUCUGCAUAGAUCCUUCAGGCUCAUACGAUGGUCUGCAUCAUGCCCACUAGCUACCCUCCAGGGCUAACAAUGGAAGGUUGUUGGGGUCACAGAGCAGCCUGAUAUUGGCUCCUCCUCUGAGGUUGAGGAAAGAGCAGUGCCAGUACCCUCUAAAGGGACUGAAUCUCUCUGUAGAGCACAGCCUAGUGUGACCCAUAUAGUUCCACCCUCCAACUGGGAGGGGGACUGAAGACCUCUAGUUCUGAUGAGCCCACCCAUCACUGAUGAAUGUCAGAUUCUAAUUAAGUCACUUCCAGCAGGACUUCUAGAGCCAGGAGGUGGUUGUUGAGGAUUUGGGGAGCAGUGUAUUAAGUUGCGGGAGUGGCCCUGGGGGGUUCAUGUUAGGUCUACCAGAGGGGUGAGGGUUAGAGAUCUGCUGGGAUUAGGGAGCCAGUGGCUUAGAGAAGCCCCUAUUCACAUGAACCCCCACCUCCUACUCCAUCCCCCACCCACCACA